RNAcentral lists this unclassified non-coding RNA (250 nucleotides) under plant metagenome. Its description in RNAcentral is "partial contains small subunit ribosomal RNA, internal transcribed spacer 1, and 5.8S ribosomal RNA". The record is from RNAcentral.
GUAGGUGAACCUGCGGAGGGAUCAUUAACACUUUUAAGGACUGGGAGAGGCAACUCUCCCUUUCUUUUUAUCCACUCGUGAACUAACUUAUGCCCCCGAUUGGGUUAUAUUUAUAUAGCCCGGUCCCUUUUUUUCUUACUAUUAUAAAAACUCUGUCCAACCGCUAACGCACUAUACAGACAGUUUCAUACUUCACAGUAUGAUACGGUGACUAUAGUAAUAUAAGCACAACUCUUAGCAACGGAUAUCU